RNAcentral lists this ribosomal RNA (778 nucleotides) under uncultured bacterium. RNAcentral's name for it is "bacterial SSU rRNA". It matches the Rfam family "Bacterial small subunit ribosomal RNA", at positions 61 to 850 of the family's 1533-position model. The record is from RNAcentral.
GUCGAACGGGCCUGGUUUUCGGACCAGGUUAGUGGCGUAAGGGUGAGUAAUGCGACGGCAACCAACCCCAUGGUUGGGCAUAACCGCGGGAAGCUGCGGAUAAUACCCAGCGAUGUUCGUGUCGGGCAUCCGGUGCGAACCAAAGUUUCGGCGCCGUGGGACGGGCCGUCGUGGUAUUAGGUUGUUGGCGGGGUAAUGGCCCACCAAGCCUCUGAUGCCUACCGGGCGUGCGAGCGUGGCCCGGCACACUGGGGAUGAGACACUGCCCAGGAUCCUACGGGAGGCUGCAGUCGAGAAUCUUCGGCAAUGGGCGCAAGCCUGACCGAGCGACGCCGCGUGGAGGAUGAAGGCCUUCGGGUUGUAAACUCCUGUCGAGGGGGAGGAAGGCGCAAGCUUGACCUAUCCCUGGAGGAAGCACGGGCUAAGUUCGUGCCAGCAGCCGCGGUAAGACGAACCGUGCGAACGUUAUUCGGAAACCACUGGGCUUAAAGCGCGUGUAGGCGGAUGGGAACGUCGGUUGUUGAAAGCCCCCGGCUCAACCGGGGAACUGGCGCCGAAACGUCCUGUCUUGAGGAGCGUAGGGGGACCUGGAACUUCCGGUGGAGCGGUGAAAUGCGUUGAGAUCGGAAGGAACGCCCGUGGCGAAAGCGAGGUCCUGGACGUUAUCUGACGCUGAGACGCGAAAGCUAGGGGAGCGAACGGGAUUAGAUACCCCGGUAGUCCUAGCUGUAAACGAUGGGCACUGGGUAGGGGGCUCGCCGAUGGGCUCUCUGCCGUA